GAUGAACGCUGGCGGCGUGCCUAAUACAUGCAAGUCGAGCGAACGGAUGAGAAGCUUGCUUCUCUGAUGUUAGCGGCGGACGGGUGAGUAACACGUGGAUAACCUACCUAUAAGACUGGGAUAACUUCGGGAAACCGGAGCUAAUACCGGAUAAUAUUUUGAACCGCAUGGUUCAAAAGUGAAAGACGGUCUUGCUGUCACUUAUAGAUGGAUCCGCGCUGCAUUAGCUAGUUGGUAAGGUAACGGCUUACCAAGGCAACGAUGCAUAGCCGACCUGAGAGGGGGAUCGGCCACACUGGAACUGAGACACGGUCCAGACUCCUACGGGAGGCAGCAGUAGGGAAUCUUCCGCAAUGGGCGAAAGCCUGACGGAGCAACGCCGCGUGAGUGAUGAAGGUCUUCGGAUCGUAAAACUCUGUUAUUAGGGAAGAACAUAUGUGUAAGUAACUGUGCACAUCUUGACGGUACCUAAUCAGAAAGCCACGGCUAACUACGUG
This 497-nucleotide ribosomal RNA is filed under the name uncultured bacterium. RNAcentral describes it as "partial 16S ribosomal RNA". It matches the Rfam family "Bacterial small subunit ribosomal RNA", at positions 28 to 507 of the family's 1533-position model. The record is from RNAcentral.